Molecule: ribosomal RNA, 253 nt
Filed under: uncultured bacterium
Lineage: Bacteria
Description: partial 16S ribosomal RNA
Rfam family: Bacterial small subunit ribosomal RNA
Source: RNAcentral
GACGAACCGUGCGAACGUUGUUCGGAAUCACUGGGCUUAAAGGGCGCGUAGGCGGGCUUGCAAGUCUGCGGUGAAAGCCUCCAGCUCAACUGGAGAAGUGCCGUGGAUACUGCGGGCCUCGAGGAGGGUAGGGGCAUCUGGAACGCUGGGUGGAGCGGUGAAAUGCGUUGAUAUCCAACGGAACUCCGGUGGCGAAGGCGAGGUGCUGGACCCUUUCUGACGCUGAGGCGCGAAAGCCAGGGGAGCGAACGGG